ACUGUGUGCCUGUCUGUCUGCCUAUCUCUCUGUCUGUCUGCCUGCCUGCCUGUCUGCCUGUCUCUUUGUCCGUCCGGACUUCUGGCCAACUCUGCUCCUCAUUCUUCAGGCAGACUCUGCAGGUCCUGGUGCUGCUGGCGUCUCCUGGCCCAUCCUCCAAGGGACAGUGUUUCCCGUGACUGCAGCCUGUCCCAGGGUGUCCUCACCCCGCAGGAACUCCAGCUGGAAGAUGACAGCCGGAGCAUGUUUUAAAGGCGUCUGUUCUAACAUCCCUUCAUCUCAAGAGGAGAGUAUCGAAGAUUUUGACUUUAAAAUUACUAGCAUUAAUAAUGUAUGACAUAGCCAAGCUUUUAUUAGAACUCAUCUUUAAUGUAUGUAAAUUUUUUCAGGAAAGUUUAAAUGUGCUUAUUAUCAUCAAUAAAAGUGUAAUUCGAGAUCAGGGAUCUAAUAGCCCGAUGCCAAAAAA
Molecule: long non-coding RNA, 466 nt
Organism: Chinchilla lanigera (long-tailed chinchilla)
Lineage: Eukaryota; Metazoa; Chordata; Mammalia; Rodentia; Chinchillidae
Exons: 2
Source: RefSeq, a predicted model, not a curated record